AAGUCGUAACAAGGUUUCCGUAGGUGAACCUGCGGAAGGAUCAUCAACAAAUCUAUAUGUUGGGUGUAAAAACCUAACAAAUACCAAUGUGAAUUGGGAGGGCAACCUCUCUAGGCCAAUUUUUGGCCAAGUAUACUAAACCAGAGUCGGAUAAGUAAAAAUAAUAUAAACAACUUUUAACAAUGGAUCUCUUGGCUCUU
This 200-nucleotide unclassified non-coding RNA is filed under the name fungal sp. RNAcentral's name for it is "partial internal transcribed spacer region". The stretch from base 1 to 46 matches the Rfam family "Eukaryotic small subunit ribosomal RNA", at positions 1786 to 1831 of the family's 1831-position model. The record is from RNAcentral. Lineage: Eukaryota; Fungi.